Molecule: transfer RNA, 77 nt
Filed under: Kordiimonadaceae bacterium
Lineage: Bacteria; Pseudomonadati; Pseudomonadota; Alphaproteobacteria; Kordiimonadales; Kordiimonadaceae
Description: tRNA-Arg
Rfam family: tRNA
About the family: Transfer RNA (tRNA) molecules are approximately 80 nucleotides in length. Their secondary structure includes four short double-helical elements and three loops (D, anti-codon, and T loops).
Source: RNAcentral
GCGCCAGUGGCUCAGCUGGAUAGAGUACUUGACUACGAAUCAAGGGGUCGGGGGUUCGAAUCCCUCCUGGCGCACCA